UGUGUUUAUGAAUUUAUGUAUAUAGCCCAC
RNAcentral lists this non-coding RNA (30 nucleotides) under Rattus norvegicus (Norway rat). The record is from RNAcentral. Lineage: Eukaryota; Metazoa; Chordata; Mammalia; Rodentia; Muridae.